CUUUUUCCACAAUUUGAUUUUGUACAAUGUCCCUUUUUCAAGUUUAAUAAGUGGACAUAUAUACUCAAUGCUUACUCAAAUUUGCAUAUGCAUUGUAUAAAAAAGCUUAUGAAUUUUAAGGAGAAAGAUGGCUUUUCAUUUUGACCGGUGAUGAAUUGGACUAAUUAUACUACUCACCAAUGGCAUGGAAUCUUUGAGUUAAGGUGAAAAGGGUUGCAUUGGUGAGCUUCUUUUGUAUUUCUCUUGCCUUUCAAAGGGCACGAGACUGAGGAUGUAUACUUUUAUAAUGCCUGGUCUACAUGAGAUGGAGUUUCUACUAAUGAACAAUUAGAUGCUUGCAGUGCACACAAGACUGAGACAGGGCUGAUGAAUAUCAUCAUAUGUAAUAACAUUAUAACCUUAGUUCACCAAGUUCAAGGUCCUCAAUGUUUUUCUUUUAAUAUGUUUUUUUUAUUUAUUUAAA
This is a long non-coding RNA of Quercus robur (English oak), 463 nucleotides long. RefSeq lists it as uncharacterized. The transcript is spliced from 3 exons. The record is from RefSeq and is a predicted model, not a curated record. Lineage: Eukaryota; Viridiplantae; Streptophyta; Magnoliopsida; Fagales; Fagaceae.